AUUUACCAUAAUAUGCCCAGAUACUGGGAAAGGUCUGGCUAUGUUGUUAUUCAUCCUGAGGAGUGAGGUUGAAUGGGCCUUAAGAAGCAUUGCCAAUUACAAGGCAGCAGGAGACGAUGGGAUCCCAGUUGAGUUGUUUAAAAUCUUGGAAGAUGAUGCUGUCAAGGUGAUAUAUGCCAUAUGCCAGCAAAUAUGGAAAACACAAGAAUGGCCAUCAGAUUGGGAAAAAUCAAUUUAUAUCCCCAUACUAAAAAAGGGAAACGCUAAAAAUGCUCCAACUUCCGUACAGUGGCACUUAUUUCCCAUGCCAGUAAGGUACUGCUUAAGAUCCUGCAAGAAUGACUCCAGCAAUACAUGGAGCGAGAGUUGCCAGAUGUUCAGGCUGGGUUUAGAAAAGGCAAAGGAACAAGAGACCAAUUGCCAAUAUCCUCUGGAUAAGGGCAGGGCCCGACUCACCGGGCCCUGCAGAUUGCUGGGAAGGGCGCUCCCUCCCUCCCAGCAUGGCGGCGGACCGGGGGGCUUCUUCUUCCCAGGAGCCCCCUCGGCGCAGCGGGAAGGUUUCCCGCCGCCAGCACCCGCUGGCCAAUGGCAGGCCAGCACUCCUGGGCUGCCAUUGGUCAGCGCCCCUCCGUGGGCGGGGCCGCACCAGGCUCCGCCCCCGAGAGGCUCAACAGCAGCCAUUCGGAGGCUGCAGCUUGGAGGAGGAGGACACGCACGGAGCAAGAGAAAGAAGGCAGCGCGAGGAAGAAGGCAACGAGGGGCAGCGGAGUUACAGUAGGAAGGCUGGAAACGAGGGGAAGGGCAAUGGCGCCUAAAAGGAGCACCAGGGCGGCAGCAGGAAUGGAUAAGGAGUUACCGCCUAGAACAUCGAGGCCGCCCAGGAACAAGGCAACAGCCGAGGGGGAGGCUAGAAGAAAAACACCAAAUAAGGCGCCCACGCGUAAAGCAGCUCCCAAACACGCUGGUAAGCAGGGUGAGGGCGCGCUGGAGGGGAUAUCCCAGAACCUCGCUCGCCUAGUGGAUAGAAUGGGUAAACUUGAGUCAAGAGUUUACCAAAGGUCCGAGAGAACAUCAGCAUCCCCGCAAAGGGAUGCACCUAGAGGCAGGAGACGAACGAGAGACAAUGACGUAUCCAGGUCACCCUCAAUUAGUCCGGCAUCCAGCGGUGAUGACUCCACAGCAGCCACCGAGCGGACCAAAUGGAGCGGCGGCGGCGCGCGAAAAAAGUCACGCAGGUCUUCAAGGCGCUGUUGCCAGACCGCUACAGACAGCGACUCCGCGGAGAGUGAGUAUGCCCGUGUUGACCUAGUUGACAGAGGUAACUAUUGGAGGACAGCGGCCCUAGUGCCAGGACUCCCUUAAUGGGCCAUCAGGGACAGAACUGAGACAGCGGCAGCGUUGGGAGCCCCAUGUGGUGCUUGGGGCAAGCGCAGGGCUCCUGCCCCGGCGCUACCUGGCCCUUUUCAGGACAAUGAAGAUCCACCUGGCACUCACCUGUCCCCCCGUGUCAUUAGCAAGAUUCUAAAAGGCUACUACGUGGAUGUUUUUUCUCUCAUAAAACCAGAGGGGGAAGAGGGUAGGGAACCCCCCCUAAGAGGAAGGCGCAGAAGAGGGGAGAAGGAUAAGCCGGUGGAGCAGAACUUUGUUAACUGGAUGGCCGGUUUUUCCGUAUACCUUGGGGUAGUGGCCACGUCUUUUCCUGACCGGGCGUGGCAUCUUGCAAAUCAUCAAAAGACGGUUGUCAAGGCUAGGAGGAUGGCUGGCGAGGCAGCGGCCAUUGCAUACGACGAAGCCUUUAGAAAAAGAGCUUCUCAGAGCGCCAGGGUCAGGUGGGACCUCACUAAUCAUGACAUUUGGCUUACCGAGGUCGGCCCCAGCAUAAAAAGCAAGUCAGAUACGAGCAGGUCAGACCGAGGCUGGGGCAGAAAAGAAAGCAGGCGGGCGGUGUGCUGGGAGUUUAACCUGGGAAAAUGCCAGCGGGCACGCUGCCGCUUUGACCAUGCGUGUGAAUACUGCUCGGGAAACCACACCAAGAUGAGUUGCGGGAAGUCCGGCAGCAACGGGCAGCCCUUUCCGUCAGGCCGGGCUGGAGCUCAGCCCGGUUUCAAAAAAGAAGGCGGAGCAACCAACGGGAGCAGCUCCGCUCGCACCAAGUAAUUCCCAGGACUCCAUCGGGACACUGGCUUUCA
Molecule: long non-coding RNA, 2189 nt
Organism: Anolis carolinensis (green anole)
Lineage: Eukaryota; Metazoa; Chordata; Lepidosauria; Squamata; Anolidae
Source: Ensembl